UAAGCCUUAAAUUAGAACUUAGCAUGUGUAAGCAGUUGAUUAAACAUAUUCUAUAGCGAACGAGUUAAAGUAGUGUUUAAUAAUGUUUAUAAUUAUAUAGGGAUAUUUGUCUUCUAAGACAAAUAUUUGAUUAGGUUUAAUAAUACAAAUAACUAAACAACUAAAUCAGUUAUUAAUCUACUUUAUUAUUAAGUGUAUAUAUGAAUAUAUUCUAUGUGUAUAUUUUAUGUGCUCCUAUUUAUAAGUGGUAUUUUGUUGACAGGUUAUCAAUGAUGUAGCACAACCAGCAUCAUUAUUCAAACGACCUGACCCACAGUCGGGCCGUUAUUUGUGUGAGAAUGUUUUUAUAAACAUCGGGAUCUUCACAUCCCUCCAGGUGAUCCCUGAAUAAAGACCUUAAACCCCA
This is a long non-coding RNA of Gigantopelta aegis, 406 nucleotides long. RefSeq lists it as uncharacterized. The record is from RefSeq and is a predicted model, not a curated record. Lineage: Eukaryota; Metazoa; Mollusca; Gastropoda; Neomphalida; Peltospiridae. The transcript is spliced from 2 exons.